UAUACAUGAAAUCUCCAAGUACAAUUCCUAUUUCACAGUGAGCUCUCCAGCUCCCCUUUAUAUACUGAAAAGUCACCUCAGCCUUUCCUCCUUCAGGCUGAACAGCCCCAGCUCUCUCAGCCUUUUCUCACAGGAGAGAUGUUCCAUUCCUUGGAUCAUUUUUGUGGCCCUCCUCUGGACACGUUCCAACAGGUCUAUGUCUCUCCAGUACAGUGGACUCCACAUCUGGACACGGUAUUCCAGUGGCUGUAUCAGAGGCUUCAAAGAGGUAAAACAUUCAGCACCUUGAGCAGGAAGAUGAGGGUGAAGAAAGGCAGAAGACUUUCAUAGAGAGCCCUUUGGUCUGCUUUGGCUGUCAAGUCUACUGCCAAAGUUAGUUUCUGGAAAGUGUUGAUGAAGACUGAAAUUAGCUGCCUUGGA
Gallus gallus (chicken) is the source of this 420-nucleotide long non-coding RNA. The record is from Ensembl. NCBI's taxonomy places the organism in Eukaryota, Metazoa, Chordata, Aves, Galliformes, Phasianidae.